AAUCAACGCUGGCGGCGUGCCUAACACAUGCCAGUCGAACGCGAAAGCCCCGCAAGGGGUAAGUAGAGUGGCAAACGGGUGAGUAACACGUGGGUGACCUGCCUUCGAGUGGGGGAUAACGUCCCGAAAGGGACGCUAAUACCGCAUGACAUCCUGCUUUUGAAAAAGCGGAGAUCAAAGCUGGGGAUCGCAAGACCUAGCGCUUGAAGAGGGGCCCGCGCCUGAUUAGCUAGUUGGUGAGGUAACGGCUCACCAAGGCGACGAUCAGUAUCCGGCCUGAGAGGGCGGACGGACACACUGGGACUGAGACACGGCCCAGACGCCUACGGGAGGCAGCAGUGGGGAAUUGUUCGCAAUGGGCGCAAGCCUGACGACGCAACGCCGCGUGGAGGACGAAGAUCUUCGGGUCGUAAACUCCUGUCGAGCGGGACGAACGCUUCGCGGAUGAAUAAUCCGCGGAAUUGACGGUACCGCUAAAGGAAGCCCCGGCUAACUCCGUG
This 500-nucleotide ribosomal RNA is filed under the name uncultured bacterium. Its description in RNAcentral is "partial 16S ribosomal RNA". It matches the Rfam family "Bacterial small subunit ribosomal RNA", at positions 29 to 507 of the family's 1533-position model. The record is from RNAcentral.